RNAcentral lists this ribosomal RNA (691 nucleotides) under uncultured bacterium. RNAcentral describes it as "bacterial SSU rRNA". It matches the Rfam family "Bacterial small subunit ribosomal RNA", at positions 32 to 715 of the family's 1533-position model. The record is from RNAcentral.
AACGCUAGCUACAGGCUUAACACAUGCAAGUCGAGGGGCAGCAUUGGGGUAGCAAUACUUCAGAUGGCGACCGGCGCACGGGUGAGUAACACGUAUCCAACCUGCCGCUUACUCGGGGAUAGCCUUUCGAAAGAAAGAUUAAUACCCGAUGGUAUAAAGAGUUCGCAUGUUCUCUUUAUUAAAGAAUUUCGGUAAGCGAUGGGGAUGCGUUCCAUUAGAUAGUUGGCGGGGUAACGGCCCACCAAGUCUACGAUGGAUAGGGGUUCUGAGAGGAAGGUCCCCCACAUUGGAACUGAGACACGGUCCAAACUCCUACGGGAGGCAGCAGUGAGGAAUAUUGGUCAAUGGGCGCGAGCCUGAACCAGCCAAGUAGCGUGAAGGAUGAAGGUCCUGCGGAUUGUAAACUUCUUUUAUAAGGGAAUAAAGUCACCCACGUGUGGGUGUUUGUAUGUACCUUAUGAAUAAGCAUCGGCUAACUCCGUGCCAGCAGCCGCGGUAAUACGGAGGAUCCGAGCGUUAUCCGGAUUUAUUGGGUUUAAAGGGUGCGUAGGUGGUUUGAUAAGUCAGCGGUGAAAGUUUGAGGCUCAACCUUAAAAUUGCAGUUGAUACUGGCGUCCUUGAGUACGGUUGAGGCAGGCGGAAUUCGUGGUGUAGCGGUGAAAUGCAUAGAUAUCACGAAGAACUCCGAUUG